AGUGAACGCUGGCGGUAGGCCUAACACAUGCAAGUCGAACGGCAGCACAGUAAGAGCUUGCUCUUACGGGUGGCGAGUGGCGGACGGGUGAGGAAUACAUCGGAAUCUACUUUUUCGUGGGGGAUAACGUAGGGAAACUUACGCUAAUACCGCAUACGACCUACGGGUGAAAGCAGGGGAUCUUCGGACCUUGCGCGAUUGAAUGAGCCGAUGUCGGAUUAGCUAGUUGGCGGGGUAAAGGCCCACCAAGGCGACGAUCCGUAGCUGGUCUGAGAGGAUGAUCAGCCACACUGGAACUGAGACACGGUCCAGACUCCUACGGGAGGCAGCAGUGGGGUAUAUUGGACAAUGGGCGCAAGCCUGAUCCAGCCAUACCGCGUAGGUGAAGAAGGCCUUCGGGUUGUAAAGCCCUUUUUUUGGGAAAGAAAAGCAGCAGGUUAAUACCCCGCUGUUCUGACGGUACCCAAAGAAUAAGCACCGGCUAACUUCGUG
This 492-nucleotide ribosomal RNA is filed under the name uncultured bacterium. RNAcentral's name for it is "partial 16S ribosomal RNA". It matches the Rfam family "Bacterial small subunit ribosomal RNA", at positions 29 to 507 of the family's 1533-position model. The record is from RNAcentral.